This is a long non-coding RNA of Astatotilapia calliptera (eastern happy), 3870 nucleotides long. NCBI's taxonomy places the organism in Eukaryota, Metazoa, Chordata, Actinopteri, Cichliformes, Cichlidae. The record is from Ensembl.
CCAGACUGUUGCUGUUACAACUGACCCAGACUCCUAUAGCCAUGAACUAGCUAACAUUACAGCCAACGGCUAAAACAUUAGCACUAAAGACCUACACAGAAUAUAUCCCCAUAGACAUACAAAUAACACAAUUUAAGUUUGAUGAGUUUAACUGCAAAGCAGAUAAUGCUAUUACAAAUUGAAAUAAAGUAGAAAAACUUACUUUUUGGCAUACAAAUUACUUUUUUUCGUGUUAAAUUGUCUGUGUUUGACAAAAUGUGCUGAUUUUUCACAUGUGAUAGCAGAACUGAAUUGGGCAUGCACAGGAUGAAUCACAUCAUUUGAAACUUAGCCCUGAUUGGAGAAAUUGGAAGUGUUACAACUGACCCACGUUACAACUAUCCCCGGUCUCCCCUACACAUAUUCUCUGUGUUUUAAUUUGAUGCAGGAUGAAAGCAAACAUGUCACACUGAUGUGUUACAGCAUUUUUCUUUUUUUAAAUGAGUGAAGUUAUCAAACCAGAAGCCAAGAGGCUUGAUGUUGUGUCCACUCCUACUGGAUCCCUACUGUCUGUUUAACGAGCAGGCUGUGAAGUGUUAACAACUCAAUGUUGCUCUGAAUUUAAAUCUUGAAAGACUGAAAAAGACUUUGGUGAAAUUCGUGGCUCUUCAGGUGUUCUCUGGAAAUACAAUCAAGCUUCCACAGUGAAUCUAUAAUGAUAACUAGAAAGUGCAUUUUCUGAAGAAACUGCAGUGUGAAUGCUUGAAUCUGAAUGUAUGCAUUGAAAUGAAAUAAUUACUGAAUUUAAGUUAAAAAUUUUGAAUGAGAUUAAAAAAAAAACCCGAAUUUAACCUGAAAACAAAAGUGCUGAACUGCUAAAAGCUGAAGGUUACACAGAAGAAGAAGUUGGAAAAAAGCUGAAAAUGUUUUAAUUGUAAAUUAGAAAAACCUAAGAAAUGAGAAAAGAACAUUUAGAGUCAGAAAACAUCUGAAAGAAUAUUAAAAGGUCAUAUUCUUUGAAUCACUGAAUGACUAAAAUGUGAUCCCUCCACUUGGACCCACACAGUUUAAAAAGUUUACAUCUCUGAGCUUUGAAAGACAAGAUGUUGGAAAGAGAACAACGUUUUGAGGGUAAAAUGAUGGCUUUAACACUGUGGACACAGCAGCAGUUGAAAGAGAAGUGUUUAAGAUGAAUCUUGGCAGAGUGAGAGAGAGAGCUCGUUAAGCAGGCAGGUGUGAGCCUGGUUGCUAUAGUGACCGCACCCAAGGGCUCCAUACACACGUACACAGACAUGCACCUCACUUUUGCUGCUUAAAAUGAACAGAAAAGUCAGGCCGAAACAAAUCGCUCCCAAAUGAAAAGUAAAAGUCGCAUUGACAAAAUUCUUUCACCGUGAGCGACAGCAAUGGCUAGUCUACCUAAUUCUCAGUUUUCAUGCCUGUGGAGCUUAUUAUAUGGACGUGGUGACAGUGUAAAGACACCAUGCUCUUCUGAUUUUCAAACCAACCUUCUGAGACAUUUUAACAUUGGAGUCUAUGGAAGAGUUGGAGGGAGGAGGCUGUGCAUUGGUGAGAUUUAUGAAAGAACCAUAACACCUAGUACAAUAGUAAACACAUUGGAUGAAAGAGGACAGCGAUGGCUACGUUUUGAGGGUAAAAUCAUACCUGUAGAGCAAACGCUGCAGACACAGCAGCAGUUUUAAAAAAGAUUUUAAGAUUAAUUUUUUUGCUCCUCUCACUCUAGCAGUUGAGCUGCCUCACUCUAGCCCCAACAUUCCGUCCCAUACACACCCAUUAUAAACUCUGAAACGGGUGAAAAAACAUCAUGAAACUUAAACUGGAACUGAAGAAAAAGUAUAAUAGAUAUUGAAAAGAUAAAUACAAGUUGAAUAGUUGAAUGUCUUGUCUUCGUUUUAAAGUUUGAAUGGUGGCUCUAUGUCAAUGUAUGUGGAAGUAGUAAGAGUUUAAAAAUGAGUAAGUUGAAUGAGGAUUUGAAGGGUCUCCCCAUUGAAAUACAUUAUAAAUUUUUGUUGAAUAAAGUUGAAUAAAAUUAAAAAUAUAAAUGUUAAAAAUAUGAAAAAUAGAAGCAGUGUUGUCCAAAAGAAUAGGAAUCUAACGGUGUUUGAAUGGUUUUUCUAAGUUGAACGGUUUUGAAGGAGUAGGCUUACAAAAAACGUACGGAAUACAGAAUAAAAUAUAAUAACUAGAAAGUGCAUUUUCUGAAGAAACUGCAGUGUGAAUGCUUGAAUCUGAAUGUAUGCACUGAAAUGAAUUAAUUGCUGAAUUUUGAGUUAAAAAUAUUGAAUGAGAUAAAAAACAAAACAAAAAAAAACCCGAAUUUAACCUGAAAACAAAGGUGCUGAACUGCUAAAAGCUGAAGGUUACACAGAAGAAGAAGUUGGAAAAAAACUGAAAAUGUUUUAAAUGUAAAUUAGAAAACCCUAAGAAAUGAGAAAAGAACAUUUAGAGUCAGAAAACAUCUGAAUGAAUAUUAAAAGGUCAUAUUCUUUGAAUCACUGAAUGACUAAAAUGUGAUCCCUCCACUUUGAUCCACACAGUUUAAAAAGUUUAAAUGCCUGAGCUUUGAAAGAUACGGUGUUGGAAAGAGAACAAUAAUGGCGACAAUUUGAGGGUAAAAUGAUGGCUGUAACACUGUGGACACAGCAGCAGUUGAAAGAGAAGUGCUUAAGAUGAAUCUUGGCACAGUGGCAGGCAGAGCUCGUUAAGCAGGCAGGUGUGAGCCUGGUUGCUAUAGUGACCGCACCCAAUGGCUCCAUACACACGUACACAGACAUGCGCCUCACUUUUGCUGCUUAAAAUGAACAGAAAAGUCAGGCCGAAACAAAUCGCUCCCAAAUGAAAAGUAAAAGUCGUAUUGACAAAAUUCUUUCACCGUGAGCGACAGCAAUGUCUAGUCUACCUAAUUCUCAGUUUUCAUGCCUGUGGAGCUUAUUAUAUGGACGUGGUGACAGUGGAAAGACACCAUGCUCUUCUGAUUUUCAAACGAACCUUCUGAGCCAUUUUAACAUUAGAGUCUAUGGAAGAGUUGGAGGGAGGAGGCUGUGCAUUGGUGACAUUUAUGAAAGAACCAUAACACCUAGUACAAUAGUAAACACAUUGGAUGAAAGAGGACAGCCAUGGCUACGUUUUGAGGGUAAAAUCAUACCUGUAGAGCAAACGCUGCGGACACAGCAGCAGUUUUAAAAAAUAUUUUAAGAUUAAUUUUUUUGCUCCUCUCACUCUAGCAGUUGAGCUGCCUCACUCUAGCCCCAACAUUCCGUCCCAUACACACCCAUUAUAAACUCUGAAACGGGUGAAAAAACAUCAUGAAACUUAAACUGGAACUGAAGAAAAAGUAUAAUAGAUAUUGAAAAGAUAAAUACAAGUUGAAUAGUUGAAUGUCUUGUCUUCGUUUUAAAGUUUGAAUGGUGGCUCUAUGUCAAUGUAUGUGGAAGUAGUAAGAGUUUAAAAAUGAGUAAGUUGAAUGAGGAUUUGAAGGGUCUCCCCAUUGAAAUACAUUAUAAAUUUUUGUUGAAUAAAGUUGAAUAAAAUUAGAAAUAUAAAUGUUAAAAAUAUGAAAAAUAGAAGCAGUGUUGUCCAAAAGAAUAGGAAUCUAACGGUGUUUGAAUGGUUUUUCUAAGUUGAACGGUUUUGAAGUUAUAGGAUUACAAAAAACGUACGGAAUACAGAAUAAAAUAUAAUAAUAAUAAUAAUAAAGAUUCGAAUAACAAUACUGUGAAUGCUUUUCAAGCAUUCACACUAAUAAUAACUAGAAAGUGCAUUUUCUGAAGAAACUGCAGUGUGAAUGCUUGAAUCUGAAUGUAUGCACUGAAAUGAAUUAAUUGCUGAAUUUUAAGUUAACAAUGUUGAACGAGAUGAAAGAUACAGAAA